AACGAACGCUGGCGGCAUGCCUAACACAUGCAAGUCGAACGAGACCUUCGGGUCUAGUGGCGCACGGGUGCGUAACGCGUGGGAACCUGCCCUUAGGUUCGGAAUAACUCCCCGAAAGGGGUGCUAAUACCGGAUAAUGUCUUCGGACCAAAGAUUUAUCGCCUUUGGAUGGGCCCGCGUUGGAUUAGCUAGUUGGUAGGGUAAUAGCAUACCAAGGCGACGAUCCAUAGCUGGUCUGAGAGGAUGAUCAGCCACACUGGGACUGAGACACGGCCCAGACUCCUACGGGAGGCAGCAGUGGGGAAUAGUGGACAAUGGGCGAAAGCCUGACCCAGCAAUGCCGCGUGAGUGAUGAAGGCGUUAGGGUUGUAAAGCUCUUUUACCCGGGAUGAUAAUGACAGUACCGGGAGAAUAAGCACCGACUAACUCCGUG
RNAcentral lists this ribosomal RNA (433 nucleotides) under uncultured bacterium. RNAcentral describes it as "partial 16S ribosomal RNA". It matches the Rfam family "Bacterial small subunit ribosomal RNA", at positions 29 to 507 of the family's 1533-position model. The record is from RNAcentral.